AGCAGCCGCGGUAAUUCCAGCUCCAAUAGCGUAUAUUAAAGUUGUUGCAGUUAAAAAGCUCGUAGUUGAAUUUUGGAUUCUUCCAAUUGGUCCAUCUUUUAGAUGAGUACUGGUUGUGUGGGGUCUAUCCGCCUGGUAAUACGUAAUGUCCUUUAUUGGAUGUUGCGGGUAGUCAGGACCUUUACCUUGAAAAAUUAGAGUGUUUAAAGCAGGCUUAUGCCGGAAUACAUUAGCAUGGAAUAAUAGAAUAGGACGAAGUUGUUUUAUUUUGUUGGUUUCUAGGACAACCGUAAUGAUUAAUAGGGAUAGUUGGGGGCAUUAGUAUUCAAUUGUCAGAGGUGAAAUUCUUGGAUUUAUUGAAGACUAACUACUGCGAAAGCAUUUGCCAAGGAUGUUUUCAUUAAUCAAGAACGAAAGUUAGGGGAUCGAAGACGAUCAGAUACCGUCGUAGUCUUAACCAUAAACUAUGCCGACUAGGGAUCGGGCGAUGUUGUUUCCAUGACUCGCUCGGCACCUUAUG
This 520-nucleotide ribosomal RNA is filed under the name uncultured Archaeospora. RNAcentral describes it as "SSU rRNA". It matches the Rfam family "Eukaryotic small subunit ribosomal RNA", at positions 569 to 1092 of the family's 1831-position model. Lineage: Eukaryota; Fungi; Glomeromycota; Glomeromycetes; Archaeosporales; Archaeosporaceae. The record is from RNAcentral.